RNAcentral lists this small RNA (76 nucleotides) under Xanthomonas vesicatoria. RNAcentral's name for it is "sX9". It matches the Rfam family "Xanthomonas sRNA sX9". Lineage: Bacteria; Pseudomonadati; Pseudomonadota; Gammaproteobacteria; Lysobacterales; Lysobacteraceae. RNAcentral also lists the same sequence under 1 other name. The record is from RNAcentral.
AUGUACCACUCGUACACUGCGGUCCCGAGCGCAGCGCCCGCACCCACCUGGCAUCGCUCGCUACGUUUUGCUAGCC